RNAcentral lists this ribosomal RNA (224 nucleotides) under uncultured fungus. RNAcentral describes it as "partial small subunit ribosomal RNA". The stretch from base 99 to 224 matches the Rfam family "Eukaryotic small subunit ribosomal RNA", at positions 737 to 864 of the family's 1831-position model. The record is from RNAcentral. Lineage: Eukaryota; Fungi.
GGCAAGGUGUGAUUGGCCCGCCACGGUUACGUGUGUGAGUGCCGGUUUGCGCCUGCCAUCCUUCUAGAUAACGCUUCUACUCUUCACUGAGCCGGAGGCGCCGUCUAGAUCUUUUACUUUGAAAAAAUUAGAGUGUUUAAAGCAGGCUUUUGCUAUGAAUACAUUAGCAUGGAAUAAUAAUUUAGGACUUCGGUUCUAUUUUGUUGGUUUUGCGUACUGAAGUA